CUAAGCCUAGAUAUCCUGAACAUACCAAAUUCCAUUGGAUCUUGGAAGUUAAGCAGGGUCAGCCCUGGAAAGUAUUUGGAUGGGAAACCACUAAGGUAUACCAAGCAUUGGUUGUAU
This 117-nucleotide ribosomal RNA is filed under the name Anolis carolinensis (green anole). Lineage: Eukaryota; Metazoa; Chordata; Lepidosauria; Squamata; Anolidae. The record is from RNAcentral.